RNAcentral lists this long non-coding RNA (1114 nucleotides) under Ananas comosus (pineapple). RNAcentral describes it as "long non-coding RNA (ACOM_LNC002093)". The record is from RNAcentral. Lineage: Eukaryota; Viridiplantae; Streptophyta; Magnoliopsida; Poales; Bromeliaceae.
CGUACUCCUCGAACCUGAGGCAUCAUGGUUGCUUCACAUAUAGAUUGCUACCGUUUGACUGUACUAAUACUUAGACUCUAAUCAUUGAUCUACAUCUGGUACUGAUUGGUUGUACUUAGGGGUGGAAACGAGCCGAGCUCGAGCGAGCUUAUGUCAGCUCAAAUUCGGCUUGAAAUUAAUUUCGAGCCUAAAUCUAGGCUCAAGCUCUGCUUGAAAUUAAUUCGAGCCGAGCUCAAGCGAGCCUAAUUUCGAGUCGAGCCGAGCUCGAGCUCUAAACGAGCCGAUUGAAAUUGUCAACAUUAUAUAAUCAAUAGUUUAAUUUUUAUAAAACAUUACCUAUAAUUUGAUGCAACAUGUUCAAUAGUUCAAAAUACAAAAUAAUUGUAAGAAAUGUGAGCUAGGGUGACUGCCUGACUAGGUGAGGGUCAGAGAGAGAGAGAGAGAGAGGGAAAAAAAUUGGGGAUUUGGGAAUUUGAAUGUUAUCAUAUUUUAGGGUUAUGUACAAUAGUAAAAGUCUGAAAGAGAGAGUGUGUUAUGUAAAUUUAGAGUUGGGCUCAAUUGCACGGUUGUACUUGUUGGGUUUAUUUUAUGGGCCAACAAUAAUGGCCCAAAUUAAAUUAAAGCCUAUAUAUAAUUAAAAUACAUAUUAUAUAUAUAUAUAUAUAGAGUCCGGCUACUAUACUUUUAUGAGUAUUGGCUCCUUUAUACUCAUAAGUUUUCGACCCUUAGAUUUAUUCCAUUAAUCAUUUUCAUCCGUUAGAUCAUACUAUUUAACCAACUACCCACUCAACCCUAGGGGACCACUAUCAUUCUAAGUGGGGACCACCAUCAUCCUAACCACACAUCCCAUCAAUCAACGGUUAAAAAUUUAUGAGUACAAGGGGGUCUAUACUCAUAAGAGUAUAGUAACCCCAGCAUAUAUAUAUAUAUAUAUAUAUAUUUUCGAGCUUUCGAGCUUUUCAAGCCUAAUUCGAACGAGCCGAGUAAUACUCAAGCUCGGCUUGAAAUGAAUUUCGAGCCUUUUAUUUUGUUCAAGCUCGGCUCAUUUAAUUUCGAGUCGAGCUCGAGCGAGCCGAAUAUCGAGCCGAACAUGAGUCGAACGCGAGCCGGCUCG